UAGGGAAUCUUCGGCAAUGGGGGGAACCCUGACCGAGCAACGCCGCGUGAGUGAAGAAGGUUUUCGGAUCGUAAAGCUCUGUUGUUAAGGAAGAACGAGUGUGAGAAUGGAAAGUUCAUGCUGUGACGGUACUUAACCAGAAAGGGACGGCUAACUACGUGCCAGCAGCCGCGGUAAUACGUAGGUCCCGAGCGUUGUCCGGAUUUAUUGGGCGUAAAGCGAGCGCAGGCGGUUAGAAAAGUCUGAAGUGAAAGGCAGUGGCUCAACCAUUGUAGGCUUUGGAAACUGUUUAACUUGAGUGCAGAAGGGGAGAGUGGAAUUCCAUGUGUAGCGGUGAAGUGCGCAGAGAUAUGGAGGAACACCAGUGGCGAAGGCGACUUUCUGGUCUGUAACUGACGCUGAUGUGCGAAAGCGUGGGGAUCAAACAGG
This 429-nucleotide ribosomal RNA is filed under the name Bacteroidota bacterium. RNAcentral describes it as "Bacteroidetes bacterium partial 16S ribosomal RNA". It matches the Rfam family "Bacterial small subunit ribosomal RNA", at positions 355 to 776 of the family's 1533-position model. Lineage: Bacteria; Pseudomonadati; Bacteroidota. The record is from RNAcentral.